Molecule: unclassified non-coding RNA, 356 nt
Filed under: uncultured Coprinopsis
Lineage: Eukaryota; Fungi; Basidiomycota; Agaricomycetes; Agaricales; Psathyrellaceae
Description: sequence contains ITS1
Rfam family: 5.8S ribosomal RNA (bases 1-105)
Source: RNAcentral
GAAAUGCGAUAAGCAAUGUGAAUUGCAGAAUUCAGAGAAUCAUCGAAUCUUUGAACACACCUUGCGAUCCUUGGUAUUCCGAGGAGCAUGCCUGUUUGAGUGUCAUUAAAUUCUCAACCUCACCAAUUUUUGUAUUGAAAGUUGUGUGCAGGCUUGGAUGUGGGGGUUGGCAGGUCCGCCUCUUGGUGGUCUGCUCCUCUGAAAUGCAUUAGUGGGUUCUGCCCCUAAUCUAUUGAUGUGAUAAUUUUCUACGCCGUGGAUCAGGUUGGCUACUAUAGACCUGCUUCUAACCGUCCGUCUCGGACAACUUUGACAUUUUUAACCUCAAAUCAGGUAAGACUACCCGCUGAACUUCA